GACGAACGCUGGCGGCGUGCUUAACACAUGCAAGUCGAACGAAGAGCGACGGAAGCUUGCUUCUAUCAAUCUUAGUGGCGCACGGGUGAGUAACGCGUAAUCAACCUGCCCUUCAGAGGGGGACAACAGUUGGAAACGACUGCUAAUACCGCAUACGAUCUAACCUCGGCAUCGAGGAUAGAUGAAAGGUGGCCUCUACAUGUAAGCUAUCACUGAAGGAGGGGAUUGCGUCUGAUUAGCUAGUUGGAGGGGUAACGGCCCACCAAGGCGAUGAUCAGUAGCCGGUCUGAGAGGAUGAACGGCCACAUUGGGACUGAGACACGGCCCAGACUCCUACGGGAGGCAGCAGUGGGGAAUCUUCCGCAAUGGACGAAAGGCUGACGGAGCAACGCCGCGUGAGUGAUGACGGCCUUCGGGUUGUAAAGCUCUGUUAGUCGGGACGAAAGGCCUUCUUGCGAAUAGUGAGAAGGAUUGACGGUACCGGAAUAGAAAGCCACGGCUAACUACGUG
This 510-nucleotide ribosomal RNA is filed under the name uncultured bacterium. RNAcentral's name for it is "partial 16S ribosomal RNA". It matches the Rfam family "Bacterial small subunit ribosomal RNA", at positions 28 to 507 of the family's 1533-position model. The record is from RNAcentral.